UACGGAGGGUGCAAGCGUUAUCCGGAUUCACUGGGUUUAAAGGGUGCGUAGGCGGAUAGGUAAGUCCGUGGUGAAAUCCUGCAGCUUAACUGCAGAACUGCCGUGGAUACUAUCUAUCUUGAAUGUCGUGGAGGUUAGCGGAAUAUGUCAUGUAGCGGUGAAAUGCUUAGAUAUGACAUAGAAUACCCAUUGCGAAGGCAGCUAACUACGCGAUAAUUGACGCUGAUGCACGAAAGCGUGGGGAUCAAACAGG
RNAcentral lists this ribosomal RNA (253 nucleotides) under uncultured bacterium. RNAcentral's name for it is "partial 16S ribosomal RNA". It matches the Rfam family "Bacterial small subunit ribosomal RNA", at positions 524 to 776 of the family's 1533-position model. The record is from RNAcentral.